CUGGUGUCUGCGAAGCUCGCGAGGGAAGGUCAGGGGCUGCCGCCGCCGAGGUCUUGGAUGGCUUCCGUGUUUUUCCCAACUCUUUUUCCAGUUAGGAUAUCGCAUUGCAUUUGGCCAUCGUUGCUCCUUAGUCUCCUCCCGGCUGACAGCUCCUCAGUCUUCCUGGGUCUUUCACAACCCUGACGCUUUUGAAGAUACUGGUCAGUGAUGGAGGGAUUUCCAACCUAGUGUUAUGGGUGUGGCUGAACACAUCAUACCCGACACUGGACACGUGAGAUCCAUAGCAGUUUAUUAGUAACACUGACUCACAGCCUGUGGGAGGAGGACACUAUGCACCAGGUGGAGCCUCAUGGGUGCCACGCUCUGGAAGCGAGUGAAGAAGCAGGGGCUGUGGGCGGGCAGUCUUUGCAGUAACGAGAGGAUGAAGUGACCCUUGGUUCCCCUGGGAGAAUGUAAUUGGCUUGUCUGCGUAAUUCUCUGGGCUGGUGGGGAACUGAAACCUGCUACUCAGGGAUGAGCAGGCACAGUGCCUAGUUCCCGUGAUAAGGAAGAUUCUUUGGCUAAGGAGCCUUAUUCGUGCAAGCACAAUAAGGAGGAGAACCUGUGGUUAGGCCAUUUGAGGCCCUCUGGAUUUUCCCCAGAUGUUAAGGCAUACAUGUUAUUGGGCCUUAAUUUUAGGUCUUAUGCCACAAUACUGCAAAAGUGAUUUUGCUCCCUUCUCUGUGCCUCAUGUCAGGGGUAUGUGAUGUCCUUAGGUUGUAUUACUGAUGAUAUUCAGCUUGAUCUCUUGAUUAAGAUGGUGGCAAUUAUGUUGCUCCAUUGUAAUGGUACUAUUUUCCCAUUGGUAAGUGAUAAAUAUCAUGUGGGCAAUACUUUAAGACCAUGAAAAUACCGUGUUUCUCCUCAAACUUUUGCUCGCUACUUUUAUAAUCCAUUACCUAAUGGUGACUUUCUGUUUUCCUCAUUCCUGCUACAUUUAUUCAUUGGAGUUCUCCUGAAAAGCUG
Molecule: long non-coding RNA, 1005 nt
Filed under: Equus caballus (horse)
Lineage: Eukaryota; Metazoa; Chordata; Mammalia; Perissodactyla; Equidae
Description: lncRNA (ENSECAG00000055161.1)
Source: RNAcentral